GACGGGGGAUGCAAGUGUUAUCCGGAAUCACUGGGCGUAAAGCGUCUGCAGGUGGUUUCCUAAGUCCACUGUUAAACCUUGAGGCUCAACCUCAAAUCUGCAUUGGAAACUAGGAGACUUGAGUAUAGUAGGGGUAGAGGGAAUUUCCAGUGGAGCGGUGAAAUGCGUAGAUAUUGGAAAGAACACCGAUGGCGAAGGCGCUCUACUGGGCUAUUACUGACACUCAGAGACGAAAGCUAGGGGAGCAAAUGGG
RNAcentral lists this ribosomal RNA (253 nucleotides) under uncultured bacterium. RNAcentral describes it as "partial 16S ribosomal RNA". It matches the Rfam family "Bacterial small subunit ribosomal RNA", at positions 524 to 776 of the family's 1533-position model. The record is from RNAcentral.